ACCAGUUCGAAAAGACAGAAAUUCACAUGGUGGUGGUAUUAUCAUGUAUUUUAAAAAUUACGUUCACAUAAUCCGUCGACAAGAUUUAGAGCAUGAUGAAAUUGAGAGUAUGUGGUUUGAGUUAAAGACCAAACUUCGAUCUAUUUGAUUAAUAUAAAUUAUAGGUCGGAAAGGCAAUCUACAGUUUAUUUCUGGCAAUACUUUGAUCAAAUGUUGAAAAACGCCCUUGAUGAAAAUAAUUGUAUAAUUUGCUUAGGUGAUCUGAAUAAAAAUUUUAUGUCUGAUCUACCGUCAAAUAUUAGAGAUAUUAUUUUUAUUAAUGGCCUGAUUAACAUAAUUGACAAAGCCACGCACUUUGACACACG
This 365-nucleotide long non-coding RNA is filed under the name Mytilus galloprovincialis (Mediterranean mussel). Lineage: Eukaryota; Metazoa; Mollusca; Bivalvia; Mytilida; Mytilidae. The record is from RNAcentral.